RNAcentral lists this ribosomal RNA (460 nucleotides) under uncultured bacterium. RNAcentral describes it as "partial 16S ribosomal RNA". It matches the Rfam family "Bacterial small subunit ribosomal RNA", at positions 338 to 795 of the family's 1533-position model. The record is from RNAcentral.
CCUACGGGAGGCUGCAGUGAGGAAUAUUGGUCAAUGGACGAGAGUCUGAACCAGCCAAGUAGCGUGAAGGAUGACUGCUUUAUGGGUUGUAACCUUUUUUUAUAAAGGAAUAAAACGAGGCACGUGUGCCUGUUUGCACGUACUUUAUGAAUAAGGAUCGGCUAACUACGUGCCAGCAGCCGCGGUAAUACGGAGGAUCUGAGCGUUAUCCGGAUUUAUUGGGUUUAAAGGGAGCGUAGAUGGGUUGUUAAGUCAGUAGUGAAAGUUUGGGGCUCAACCGUAAAAUUGCAAUUGAUACUGGCAGUCUUGAGUACAGUUGAGGUAAGCGGAAUUCGUGGUGUAGCGGUGAAAUGCUUAGAUAUCACGAAGAACCCCGAUUGCGAAGGCAGCUUACUAAGCUGUGACUGACAUUGAGGCUCGAAAGUGUGGGUAUCAAACAGGAUUAGAUACCCUGGUAGUC